GGGAGGUGUAGUCCUCUGCCUUGGGCCCCGCGCCGGCUGGAGAGAGUAGAAAACUACUACUCCCAAAAUGCCUUUCGGGUGAGAGCAGCUUUCUGCUAGGACCCUGAGCCGGUGGGAGGAAGGCGACGGGGCGGGCUCUAGAAGGCAACCGGCUGCCACUAACGCUGCUGCCAGGAGAUCAUGGCUAGAGGAUUCGGGUUCCGAUCGUCUCCAGGAUAACUAGAUCCAGAUUCUCUCAAUUCCACCUGUCUCUCCCCCACUGGCUGAGAAGACAAGAAAAACAAGACCAUUACAAAUAUCUAUAGUCAAGCAAAACAAAUUCCCACAUUAGCUAAAUCUAAAAAGAAGAAAAGAAAAUGUGCAUCAAUUUGUUCUUCAAGUCUAUCAGCUCUCUGUCUGGAGUCCAUCUUCCACAGUGACCAAAGUGAUUUUCCUAAACUUCAGUUCUGACUGUGUUGUUUCCCAACUCAAUAAACUCUAAUGGUUCCUGAUUGCCUCAAGAAUCGAAUAGAAAAUCCUUUGACAAUUAAAGCUCUUCACAAGACCUGUAUGAACUGAUGAACAGUGAAGUGAGCAGAACCUGGAUUACAAUCUACACAGCAAUGUAAUUUUAUAAAGAUAAUCAAUUGUGAAAGACUUGGGAACUCUGAUCAAUGCAAUGACCAACCUUAAUUCCAAAAGACUCAUGAUGAAACAUGCUAUCUGUAGAGAAAGAGAUGGAGGACUAAUGGUUUCAGAGUGCAGAGUGAAGCUUAUUUUUUUCUCUUUUUCUUUCUUUUUUAAAAAACAUGACUAAUGCAUGACUAUACAUAUUUGCAAUGGGCUUUGUUUUCCUUAC
Molecule: long non-coding RNA, 838 nt
Organism: Vombatus ursinus (common wombat)
Lineage: Eukaryota; Metazoa; Chordata; Mammalia; Diprotodontia; Vombatidae
Exons: 3
Source: RefSeq, a predicted model, not a curated record